This 1029-nucleotide long non-coding RNA is filed under the name Sus scrofa (pig). RNAcentral describes it as "lncRNA (ENSSSCG00070010015.1)". The stretch from base 246 to 348 matches the Rfam family "Eukaryotic large subunit ribosomal RNA", at positions 3297 to 3399 of the family's 3401-position model. Lineage: Eukaryota; Metazoa; Chordata; Mammalia; Artiodactyla; Suidae. The record is from RNAcentral.
GUCAGAAUCCCGCCCAGGCGGAACGAUACGGCAGCGCCGCGGGAGCCUCGGUUGGCCUCGGAUAGCCGGUCCCCGCCGUCCCCGCCGGCGGGCCGCCGCGCGCGCCCGCGUGCGGCGUGUCCCGUCGCGCGUCGGGACCGGGGUCCGGUGCGGAGAGCCCUUCGUCCUGGGAAACGGGGCGCGGCCGGAAAGCGCGGCCGCCCCCUCGCCCGUCACGCACCGCACGUUCGUGGGGAACCUGGUGCUAAACCAUUCGUAGACGACCUGCUUCUGGGUCGGGGUUUCGUACGUAGCAGAGCAGCUCCCUCGCUGCGAUCUAUUGAAAGUCAGCCCUCGACACAAGGGUUUGUCGCUCCCGGCGCCGACGCCGCCACCGUGGCGGCGGCGGUGGUCGGGGGGGGGGCCGCGGCCGGCUCGCUCGGCUUCCGUGCGUCCGUCUCGCUCUUCCUCUCUCUUCCCGUCCCAUCCCUCCGCGCCGCGGGUCGCGCCCCCCUGCCCGUCCCCGGCGAAGGGGAGCGGGGUUGGCGGUUCUCGCACGCCGCGUCCCGCGGACGCCCACGGCGCGCCGGGCGGUCGCGGGGCAGGUUGCGCGUCCCGCUGCGGCCUGUCGGGGCGAGAGGGAAAGAAGGGGAAAGCGGGCGCGCCCCUCCAGGCGCCGCCCCCCGCGCCUCCGCUACGCGCCUCGCCUCCUCCUCCGCUUCACCCCGCCGGCGGGCCUUCCCAGGGCCCGCUGGGCUGGGACGGGGCGAAGGGGAGUGGUGGGGGGAGGUCGCAUCCCGGAGGCGUGGAGGGGGAACGUUGGAGGGCCGGCCCUGCGGGAGCCUCUUCCCAGGGGGGAAACCGCGGGGCCGGGGGGCGUCGUGGGGCCCUGGGUGGCCUCCGAACACGUCCGCGAGCGGGUGCUCCGGGCCGCCACCGGCGUGGGGUGGUGGUCUGUGGGUGCGUGCUCCAGCGUGGCCUCGCGUGCCUCACUUCCUAAGGGCCCGCGGGGUCGACCAGCUGUCCCGGCCGACUCGGGCCCGGGUCCGA